CGCCAUGGCGCCGGCGGGAAUUCGAUUCUAAGCCCAUGCGAGUCAAAAUGUUCUUCGUGAACAUAGCGUACUGCUCAGUAACACGUGGAUAACCUGCCCUUAGGACUGGCAUAACCCCGGGAAAACUGGGGAUAAUUCCGAAUAGUUCAUGGUAGUUGGAAUGCUCCAUGAUCGAAAGCUAUUGCGCCUAAGGAUGGGUCUGCGGUCUAUCAGGUAGUAGUGGGUGUAAUGUACCUACUAGCCGACGACGGAUACGGGUUGUGGGAGCAAGAGCCCGGAGAUGGAUUCUGAGACAUGAAUCCAGGCCCUACGGGGCGCAGCAGGCGCGAAAACUUUACAAUGCGGGAAACCGCGAUAAGGGGACACCGAGUGCCAGCAUCUUAUGUUGGCUGUCCGCAUGUAUAAAUCACAUGUGUUAGCAAGGGCCGGGCAAGACCGGCGCCAGCCGCCGCGGUAACACCGGCGGCCCGAGUGGUGGCCACUAUUAUUGGGUCUAAAGGGUCCGUAGCCGGUUUGGUCAGUCUUCCGGGAAAUCUGACGGCUUAACCGUUAGGCUUUCGGGGGAUACUACCAGGCUUGGGACCGGGAGAGGUAAGAGGUACUACGGGGGUAGGAGUGAAAUCUUGUAAUCCUCGUGGGACCACCAGUGGCGAAGGCGUCUUACCAGAACGGGUCCGACGGUGAGGGACGAAAGCUGGGGGCACGAACCGGACUAGAUACCCGGGUAGUCCCAGCCGUAAACUAUGCUCGCUAGGUGUCAGGGACGGUGCGACCGUUUCUGGUGCCGCAGGGAAGCCGUGAAGCGAGCCACCUGGGAAGUACGGUCGCAAGGCUGAAACUUAAAGGAAUUGGCGGGGGAGCACUACAACGGGUGGAGCCUGCGGUUUAAUUGGGCUCAACGCCGGAAAACUCACCGGGGGCGACAGCAAUAUGUAGGUCAAGCUAAGACAGUUC
RNAcentral lists this ribosomal RNA (954 nucleotides) under uncultured archaeon. RNAcentral describes it as "bacterial SSU rRNA". It matches the Rfam family "Archaeal small subunit ribosomal RNA", at positions 21 to 971 of the family's 1478-position model. The record is from RNAcentral.